GCCCGGGUGGUGGAAUUGGUAUACACGCAGGACUUAAAAUCCUGUGCGCUUGCGCAUGCGAGUUCAAGUCUCGCCCCGGGCACCA
Molecule: transfer RNA, 85 nt
Filed under: bacterium
Lineage: Bacteria
Also listed under: 1 other name
Description: tRNA-Leu
Rfam family: tRNA
About the family: Transfer RNA (tRNA) molecules are approximately 80 nucleotides in length.
Source: RNAcentral